RNAcentral lists this transfer RNA (67 nucleotides) under Brachidontes exustus (scorched mussel). Its description in RNAcentral is "tRNA-Val". Lineage: Eukaryota; Metazoa; Mollusca; Bivalvia; Mytilida; Mytilidae. The record is from RNAcentral.
AAUGUGGUAGUAUAAAACUUUAAUACAUUUUGUUUACACCAAAAAACUCAUUUUAAAUGUCACAUUU